Oncorhynchus kisutch (coho salmon) is the source of this 1028-nucleotide long non-coding RNA. RefSeq lists it as uncharacterized. The record is from RefSeq and is a predicted model, not a curated record. NCBI's taxonomy places the organism in Eukaryota, Metazoa, Chordata, Actinopteri, Salmoniformes, Salmonidae. The transcript is spliced from 3 exons.
GGGCGGGUAAACAAAAUCAUGUUAUGUGACGUUGUGAAAUAUUACUGCCUCGAACUGGCAAAACACACAACUGGUAUCUUUAUGGUAUUUGGUCUAUUUUACCCUUUGAUAACUUCUUGAGAAGAUGCUUCCAGCACAUGCAGUCUUUCAUUUCCUUUGGGAAGUCAACUCUGGUGCAGUCAAUGAGGGAGAUUCAGUGAGAACACUUGGAAGAUUGAUGAAUAUAGAAAAGGCUACACUAUCUAUCCAGCACCACGUUGUUGUUCAGACUACAUUUGUGGAACCCUUUGACCCCAUCAUUGGAUUGAAAAAGCAGAGGGAGGUGAUGGCCCAUGCCCGUGGGCUGAACUGUGUGGAUGGGGUCAACCUAGUCCUGCUACAGAGAGGUGUCAAUGAACAGAGGAGCUACUUCAGAGAGAGGGGGGAGAGCAAGGGAGAUGCUGCUACUGCUGCCCGGCCACCUGCUCCUCUCUGACCUGGACCCCCAUAAGAAUUCAUCUGAUACAGUGCUACUAGUGGAAAGUUAUGAACCAGGUGGAAUUUAAUGACAUGUUGUAAUGUUUAUAUGACCUCAGAUGGAUCGUGUUAAAAGGUCAGAUUUUUUAUGGUCGGGACAUUUUCCCAAAUAGCCGAUUUACAUGGGGAUGUCAAUAAUUAUGAGACUCUGCCUUUCGCUAAUUUAGAAUGGCAAAGGGUGGAAUUGGGAUAUAAAAAGACUGGAGGAAAUCCUGAUUCGAUACACAAAAGCUGCUUGUUCUGGUGCACUGUAAAGUCCUGCCAUUAUUUGUCAUACGAUAUCAAUUCUGGAAGUCACCCUCUGACAGAGUUAGGCAGGUUCACUGAAUGUUGGGUCAGGUGUAUGAAGUAGAUCAAGAAAAUGCAUACUUAUGUUCUUAUUGUAGCUAAUCUAAGAUAAGACAGAAUGUUUGAUGUAGCCAUUUAUGCAAUGGUUAUAUUUGUGAAUGAAAACUGAUAUGUAGCUUGGAAAUGUUUAUUUGUGAGAAACAAAUAAAAUCUUCUUGAUUUGA